CUACGGGUUGCUGCAGUGGGGAAUAUUGCACAAUGGAGGAAACUCUGAUGCAGCAACGCCGCGUGGAGGAUGACACUUUUCGGAGCGUAAACUCCUUUUAUAUAGGAAGAUAAUGACGGUACUAUAUGAAUAAGCACCGGCUAACUCCGUGCCAGCAGCCGCGGUAAUACGGAAGGUGCAAGCGUUACUCGGAAUCACUGGGCGUAAAGAGCGUGUAGGCGGGUUAAUAAGUCAGAAGUGAAAUCCUAUGGCUCAACCAUAGAACUGCUUUUGAAACUGUUAACCUAGAGUGUGGGAGAGGUAGAUGGAAUUUCUGGUGUAGGGGUAAAAUCCGUAGAGAUCAGAAGGAAUACCGAUUGCGAAGGCGAUCUACUGGAACAUAACUGACGCUGAGACGCGAAAGCGUGGGGAGCAAACAGGAUUAGAUACCCCUGUAGUC
Molecule: ribosomal RNA, 439 nt
Filed under: uncultured bacterium
Lineage: Bacteria
Description: partial 16S ribosomal RNA
Rfam family: Bacterial small subunit ribosomal RNA
Source: RNAcentral